Molecule: non-coding RNA, 87 nt
Organism: Pseudomonas sp. GM78
Lineage: Bacteria; Pseudomonadati; Pseudomonadota; Gammaproteobacteria; Pseudomonadales; Pseudomonadaceae
Source: Rfam
UUCUAUGGUGGUCAUGCACAGGGCGUCUUCGGGCGCGCCGGUCUCCUCGCAUCCCGGUCUACCAACCUGCGCAUGGCCACCACCCUA